CAUAAUAGUAAAUGUUUUAUAAAUAAAAGAAAAUGCAGCGCAAAUAAUUUUUGGGCUGCAUGAAAGUUUAUCAGAGAUGGGAUUAAGAUUUGGUUUGAUAUACGUGUUUGUUUUUAUAUCAGUAUUGGCUUUAUUACUUCAAGAUUAUCAAGUUGAAAGCCGCGGAGGUGGUCGUGGAGGGUCGGGUGGUCGGAAGUCGAGCAGAAUCAGGAGUGGAGGGAGUGUAGGGAGUAGAGGAAGCAAUGACGGGCUAAUCAGUCAAAUGCUUGGUCCUCGUGCGAAUCCUGUGGUGGUAGAGGUGCUUGGUCUUUUACUUGUGAUUUUCCUCUGUAUCGUUGUUUGCAUAUGCAAAUGUCGCCGAUAGAUGUGUGUGUAAGGAUGGUGGUUAUGUACUGAUAUAGGGAUACAAGAAACAUACUUUACACGCUGAUCAUUUCAGUUCAGCUCAACAUUCGCACCCUUAGGUUUUUGUCAAUAUAAUUAUUUUGAAUUACUUAUUCAACACUUUUCAAAAUUCACACACAGUUUUAAAGAUUUUUUUACGUCAGAAUUACAGCAAAGUAGAAUAGUGCAAUCAUAGAACUUUAUUUAUCUUUGAAAUGAUCGCAAAAUAAGAAUUGCUCACACUUUUUAUAAUGUCAGUUUGAGAUAUCGAAAACAUUUUGUUUCAAACUAACAUGCGAGCUUAUUAUUAUGGCAUGAACGGCUGCAUUUUGACAGCGUUAAGAUGAAAAUAUUACUCGUCAAUGAACAAUUUGCGUAUGUUUGGCAAGUAUUUAUUGCGAGAUUUUACUUCUUUUGUUAUUUUCUAAUGUGCAAUAUAUACUUUUAACAUCGCAGUAUGAGUAUACAGAAAUUUCCAUAAAAAUAACCGAAAGAGCGAAAUUUUAUUAAACUGACAUAAAAGUGUACGUACUUAAAUUCCUCAAAACUGUGCUCAAAAAGUUUAAUUUUGAUUUUAGCUUUAUAACAAUGAAUUUUUGUGUUAUUGUUAUUGUACGUUUUAUGAUUUGUUUUUUUUUGUGUGCUAAGGUGCUAAAGCCUGGAACCGCCAUACAAAUUAAAGGCUGUUCGUGUGUUCAUUUACAAAAAAAUGGUUUCUAAAUUUAAAUAUAACAAAAAAAGACAACAAAAAAACAACAACGUUACCGUGUGAAAUACUUUAAAAAAAAGUCUGAAAAUCAGCUUGAAAUUUUCGGAUCUCUUGAAUCAUGGAUAAAUAUCUCAAAAUUUAGCCCACGGGCCUAUCCAUUUUAUUUGACCAUAUAACAGACUUUAUGUUUAUUAACCAUGAGUGAAAUGUAUUGUAGAAAAUGUCUAUUCGCAAAAAUGACGUUGAAAUUGUAGAACAAAUUUCAUUUAUUUAAACGUGAAGAACUAACAUUAAAUAAAAUUAAUUUGUCUAGAAUAUUCGAAACAUUUGUGUGUUUUGGUGCCUUUUUAAAAAUGGACAUGGUUUUAAAAUGAGACAAGAUAUAAGAUGGCUUAGAUAUUUUUAUUAACUUUAUUGAUGACAUUCACUAGAUAAUUAUCACAAUUUGUGCCAAAUUUUAGAAAUGGACUUUAUGUAUUCAUAAUAACGUUUUGUGUUAGAAGUAGUGUUAUUGCUAAUAAGUGUACGUCAUAUACCACAUAUUCGUAUUUUAUGCUAGAACUAUAUUGUAUUUAAGAGGUUAUAUAUUGCAGAACCAUGUUUUGUUGUAUUUCAACAAUACAAAGAGGUUAUACGUCUGCGGAAUAACACAGCACGAUGGAGGAUUCCAGGGGGCAUAUAACUGACUUGUAUUUUGCGAAAUAGUAAACCGUGGUCCUGUUAUAUAUUAUUUCAGUUCUUCUAGGCCUUUUUCGGUACAACUAGUAAGUUAGUCUAUUCCACCGAAUUAUCGAUUCAGAGCGAAUGUUCUGUGAUAUUAUUUCGAUUUUGAAAAGUCUUUUGUAUAAAAUAGUAGAUCAAAUGUGGCAGCACUAUUUCUCGGCGCAUGUAUGGCGCUAAAUAAAAUGUUGACGUAUAUAUUAUUGUACGUUAAUAUUACCGUGUCUUAAUGAAAGUGUUCAUUUUUUUCUUGUCAGAAUCAAUGAUAUUUUUCCAGUGAUUUACUAGUGUAACCGCCCAAGGGGAAUAACUAUAAAGAAAUCUCCGUAUCUGCAUGAAUUAUACCUCUUUUAUAAGGUUUGUGAAGUAGACUAUCUACUAUACGUGGCUCUAUCAUUAGUUACGGAAUUUCAUCUGUGUAAUUUCUAAAUGAUAUGCCUUUACCAAAAUAGCUACAUCUUUAUAAUACUGCAAAUGAAUUUCUCGGAUUUUCAUUGGUUAACAUGCACGUUAUAUAAAACCGUAUACCCCGUGAGCGAAUUUCCCCUUCAGCGGGCCCCUCUACACUGACGGUAUAUACGGAAAGUGAAUAUCGAUUUUGAUUGGCCGUUG
This is a long non-coding RNA of Mercenaria mercenaria, 2425 nucleotides long. RefSeq lists it as uncharacterized. Lineage: Eukaryota; Metazoa; Mollusca; Bivalvia; Venerida; Veneridae. The record is from RefSeq and is a predicted model, not a curated record. The transcript is spliced from 3 exons.